AAGCUCGUAGUUGAAUUUCGGGAUCAAUGGAUUGGUCAUGCCGAUGGUAUGUACUGGUCAUAUUGGUUCUCACCUUCUAAGGAACCAUAAUGUCAUUUAUUUGAUGUUGUGGGGAAUUAGGACUGUUACCUUGAAAAAAUUAGAGUGUUUAAAGCAGGCUAACGCUUGAAUACAUUAGCAUGGAAUAAUGAAAUAGGACAUCGCAUUCUAUUUUGUUGGUUUCUAGGAUCGAUGUAAUGAUUAAUAGGGAUAGUUGGGGGCAUUAGUAUUCAAUUGUCAGAGGUGAAAUUCUUGGAUUUAUUGAAGACUAACUACUGCGAAAGCAUUUGCCAAGGAUGUUUUCAUUAAUCAAGAACGAAAGUUAGGGGAUCGAAGACGAUCAGAUACCGUCGUAGUCUUAACCAUAAACUAUGCCGACUAGGGAUCGGAUGAUGUUGAUUUUUUAAUGACUCAUUCGGCACCUUACGGGAAACCAAAGUGUUUGGGUUCCGGGGGGAGUAUGGUCGCAAGGCUGAAACUUAAAGGAAUUGACGGAAGGGCACCACCAGGCGUGGAGCCUGCGGCUUAAUUUGACUCAACACGGGGAAACUUACCAGGUCCAGACAUAGCAAGGAUUGACAGACUGAGAGCUCUUUCUUGAUUCUAUGGGUG
This 651-nucleotide ribosomal RNA is filed under the name uncultured Funneliformis. RNAcentral describes it as "SSU rRNA". It matches the Rfam family "Eukaryotic small subunit ribosomal RNA", at positions 624 to 1276 of the family's 1831-position model. Lineage: Eukaryota; Fungi; Glomeromycota; Glomeromycetes; Glomerales; Glomeraceae. The record is from RNAcentral.